CCCAUGUGGCUGAUGGAGUGCAGGGGGACGGAGCUGUCUCUGCAGGACUGCUGGGCCCAGCCAGGGGACAGCGGUGCCUGCCAGCAUAAGGCAGAUGCGGCUGUGCAUUGCUCAGAUGUCCCUGUCCUGCCCGGAGGUUACCCAGCAGAUGGCUAUGAUGAUGCUGGGGAGGUUUCUGACCCUGGAGAGGAUCCUGUCCCUGGGCAGGGGGACUGGGAAGCGCCCAGGACACCAGAGGGAGGAGAUGGGCUGAGGCAUGCAGUCACAGGUGAGAGGGCAAUGCAGCACUGCCACUUCCUAGGUGCCAACCCCAGGCCUAGGAGAAUCCAUGCCAUAUUGAAAGCCUGACCACCUCCACAUGGAGAACCUGUCCUGGGAUAUUUUGUAGGGGCUGGGAGAACGGGCCAAAUGUCUCAGGCUGGUGAGGACGAGGAAGGUGAUAAACAGCCCCAAGGGGCACGCCACAGACCCAACCACAGCAGCCUGCCUUGAUGCUUACAGGGGGAAGCCUGCACUCCCGGAGAAGUGCUGGGGUCCCUGGAGCAGAGGGAGACACCUUGUACCCUGUCCUGGGGACCACGGGCUAUGACGAUGUUGAAGAGGUGUCUCUGGCAUGUCCCCAUGAGGACACCGAGGAUGUGACACCAGAGUCCCCUGCACAAGUGUUCCAGAGCCCCAGGCCAGCAGAGCCCAGCCCUGCUGAGCAGCUGGGUGCAGCCGGGAGGAAGGAGAGCUCAGUGCCCCUGGGAGAGCCGUGAGCAGCAGGGAAUGGUCUGGUCUUCCUUUUCCAGCAGUCAGCAGACGCACAUGAGUAUUUGCCCUCUUGGUAUUCCCCUGUUUUUAUGCUGUGUGUUGGUAUUUCCUCAUAUUAAAACCUUCUGGGGGCUUUGCCCCAGAUCCAGUCUUCCCUGGCCAUGUUUCUGGACAUCUCCCUGAGGGUGAUGGAGUGGAGAGGAGCUCAAAUAUGCAAUGGCUGGGAAGGGACACAUCUUAGAGCCAGCAGGAUAGGGGCCUGGUUUUGGGGCUGAAAGAGCCCCUGGUCUCUGGACACUAUUCCUACUGACAGACAUUUCCGUCCUGCCCUCCACAGGCAGUUUCCAGACAAAGUGGAUCUCUGGGAAGCCCCAAGAGACACUUCCUUGCAGUGCCC
RNAcentral lists this long non-coding RNA (1150 nucleotides) under Anas platyrhynchos platyrhynchos (common mallard). RNAcentral's name for it is "lncRNA (ENSAPLG00000016677.1)". Lineage: Eukaryota; Metazoa; Chordata; Aves; Anseriformes; Anatidae. The record is from RNAcentral.